UACGUAGGGGGCAAGCGUUGUCCGGAUUUAUUGGGCGUAAAGAGCUCGUAGGCGGUGUGUCACGUCGGCCGUGAAAACCUGGGGCUUAACUCUGGGCGUGCGGUCGAUACGGGCAUCACUAGAGUUCGGCAGGGGAGACUGGAAUUCCUGGUGUAGCGGUGAAAUGCGCAGAUAUCAGGAGGAACACCGGUGGCGAAGGCGGGUCUCUGGGCCGAUACUGACGCUGAGGAGCGAAAGCGUGGGGAGCGAACAGG
This 254-nucleotide ribosomal RNA is filed under the name uncultured bacterium. Its description in RNAcentral is "partial 16S ribosomal RNA". It matches the Rfam family "Bacterial small subunit ribosomal RNA", at positions 524 to 776 of the family's 1533-position model. The record is from RNAcentral.